Homo sapiens (human) is the source of this 2692-nucleotide long non-coding RNA. RefSeq lists it as uncharacterized. The transcript is spliced from 2 exons. NCBI's taxonomy places the organism in Eukaryota, Metazoa, Chordata, Mammalia, Primates, Hominidae. The record is from RefSeq and is a predicted model, not a curated record.
UCUGUGAGCAGAAACCAGACACAAAAAGCAAGACCAUAAGGAACUCAGGGCAGAAAAUUGCUAUGGGACCUAGCUGAACUGAGGGAAAGAAGAAUUUUCUUGGCCGUGUAAUGGUUCAAAGUGAGGAGCAACCAUACAGACCUGUGUUUGAAUUCCUCCUCUGCCACUUCCUAGCCAUGCAGCACUAGGCAAAUCAUUUAAACUCUCUGAACUGUUCUUCAUCUGAAAAAAUGGAGAUUCUUCUGAAUAUUUAUUAUAUGCCCACUAUGUGUCAGAUGCUGUUCUAGGUGCUGGGGGUCUACUUGUGAUUAAGAGUAUUAAGCUCGGACGGGUGCGGUGGCUCAUGCCUGUAAUCCCAGCACUUUGGGAGGCCGAGGCGGACAGAUCACGAGGUCAGGAGUUCAAGACCAGCCUGGCCAACAUAGUGAAACCGCUGUCUCUGCUAAAAAUAACAAAAAAAUUAGCAGGGCAUGGUGGCGCGUGCCUGUAGUCCCAGCUACUCAAGAGGCUGAGGCAGAAGAAUCGCUUGAACCCAGGAGGUGGAGGUUGCAGUGAUCCGAGAUCCCACCACCGCACUCCAGCUUGGGCAACAGAGUGAGACUUUGUCUCAAAAAAAAAAAAAAAAAAAAAAAAAAGACUAUUAAGCUCAUAUUCUUCUAAGGGAGAGAAGAGACAUAACAAACACAUAAACACAGGUGAUGAAUGCCACAGGGAAAACAAAACAGCGCGAUGUGACAAAGUGGGUAAGAAAGCCCACUUCAGGUGGUCAAGGCAGGCCUCCCUGUGAAGGUGACAUCAGCUAAAGGACCUGAAUGUCCUGGAGCAAGCUACGUGAAGAUUUGGGAAGAGUGUCUCAGGCAGAAAGGACUGCAAGUGCAAAAGCUCUGAGGCAGGGCUAAGCUCAGGAAAUUUCAGGAUUACAAAGACCAGUCUGGCUGGAGCUGGGUGAGAAAGGGGAGCAUGUGGUAGGGAAGGAACACAGUCCCUGCCACAUGGGGGCUGUUGGGAGGACCGGAUGAGGGAAUAUGUGCGUGAUACUUGGCAGGGUUAUAUGCUUAAUAUGUGGUAGCUGCUGUUAGUAUCUGCAACAUCCUUCCUAACGAGCAGUAGCAGCCCCAAGGACUGAUGCUGUGACAACUGGUUUCUUACACUUUGCCGAGAAACGGCUAAGACCAACUACUAGUAGUGGUAGUACUGGAUGCCUAGGGUUCCAAACCUAGUUCUGCCACUUAACAAUUCCACAAUCUUGAGCAAGUUACUCUAAGCAUCCAUUUCUUCAUUUGAAAAAAUGGAGGUAAUAGUACCACAUGGGACUUCCUUCACAGAGCUCUUGCAAAGAUGAAACACAUGUAAAACACUCAGCACAGCGGCCUGGCACGCAGUAAACAUCUGAUAAAUGUUAACUAUUAUUAUUAUUCUAAUAAAAGCACCAAGGGAGUUACCUGAAGUUGAGUCAAAUCUGACUGACUGUCCUGGAGAGGUGUGCCAGCUAUCUCUACCCAGGACCAGACGCUCUACUAAGUUCCCAGCUUACUACGGAAUGGAGGCAUCCAAGCUGGGAGGGAAGUGAAAUAACCGUCCUGGACUUGUCCAUACCUGAGAUCCCCACCUCUGCCACCAAGAGAUCAUCGCUGGAAGCCGAGUUUUCAGCAAGACGCUUGAACUCAUCCUGCUUCUCACCGUAGGGGUACUGGGUGUCGAACUUCACCAAGACGAACUUGCUUUUGGGAAUGACCUGAGGGCGUAUAGAGCUGAGCAAGUGGGUGUUCCAGGGACUUUUGGGGCUAAUUCCCCUUCCCAAGGGGCCCCUGUUUAAGAAAUAGAGUGGAAACAAGCCCACAAGGGAGGCAAGCUCUCACAAACUAAUAUUUAUUCAUUCACCCACUGACUCAUUUAACAAUUUAGUGAGUGCCAGCAACAUGCAGGGCACCCCAUUAGUACCUGUUCACACUAAUCAAAGAUAUACACAACCCUGUCCAGAAUAAACAAGGCUGCAGACAUACUAAGGCCUUCUCCUUCAGGGUUCCUUUCAGUUAGGUGAAGGAGACCCUCUGCAUACUACAUCAGCCCCUGUCAUGCUCAUCAUCCCAGGAGGCCUUUCGCAGUAAACCCUGAACAAGAAAUCUGACAAAAAUAAACAAACCUACCUACAAAGGAGUUGGCAUCAUGGAGGACGCUUUGGCUAGAUAGGCCAGAGUUUGAACCCAGCAAUUUCAGGGCAGAUAAGCUAGUGAGAGGCCAGGCUUGGGACAAUGUCUUCUCCCUAGACUACACUUCCCUCUGGCUAGAUCUCUGGGUUUUAAACUGUCAGGGCCAAGACUUUUAAUUGCAGUAAAAUUCACAUAAUAUUUGCCAUUGUAACCAUUUAAAAGUGUACAUUCUGCAUGAUUCAGUGCAUUAAGAAUGUGCAACCAUAGAGGUUACUAUCUAGUGCCAGAACAUUUUCAUCAUCCCAAAAGGAAACCCUAUACUCAUUACGCAGUCACUCCCCAGUCUUCCUCCUCCCAGCCCCAGCAACCACUCAUCUAUUUUCUGUCUCUAUAGAUUUGUCUAUUCUGAUGGAAAUGUACAAUAUGUGCCCUUUUGUGUCUGGCUUUUUUCACUUAGCAUGUUUUCAAGGUUUGUCCAUGUUGUACCAUGUAUUGGCACACUGUUACUUUUUAUGGCCAAAUAAAUAUUACACUGUACGAUA